Molecule: transfer RNA, 72 nt
Filed under: Ornithorhynchus anatinus (platypus)
Lineage: Eukaryota; Metazoa; Chordata; Mammalia; Monotremata; Ornithorhynchidae
Rfam family: tRNA
About the family: Transfer RNA (tRNA) molecules are approximately 80 nucleotides in length. Their secondary structure includes four short double-helical elements and three loops (D, anti-codon, and T loops).
Source: Rfam by way of RNAcentral
AGCAGAGUGGCUCAGUGGCAAGAGCCCGGGCUUGGGAGUCAGAGGUCAUGAGUUCAAAUCCCAGCUCUGCCA